This 86-nucleotide transfer RNA is filed under the name Minisyncoccota bacterium. Its description in RNAcentral is "tRNA-Ser". It matches the Rfam family "tRNA". Rfam says of the family: Transfer RNA (tRNA) molecules are approximately 80 nucleotides in length. Their secondary structure includes four short double-helical elements and three loops (D, anti-codon, and T loops). The record is from RNAcentral. Lineage: Bacteria; Bacillati; Minisyncoccota. RNAcentral also lists the same sequence under 1 other name.
GGAGGGAUCGGAUAAUUGGUUAUUCCACCAGUCUUGAAAACUGGAGCCCCUCACGGGGCUUGUGGGUUCGAGUCCCACUCCCUCCG